UGGGAUGGUUAGAAGCCUAAAUACACC
RNAcentral lists this non-coding RNA (27 nucleotides) under Mus musculus (house mouse). Lineage: Eukaryota; Metazoa; Chordata; Mammalia; Rodentia; Muridae. The record is from RNAcentral.